UGAUCAGUGAUGGCUCCAUAUUGAAAUUCCUUGGAAAACUAAACAAAAUGAAUGGGAAAUUCCAUUAAAUUUUUGAUAUUAAAAAUCUAGUUCC
Molecule: small nucleolar RNA, 94 nt
Organism: Nannospalax galili (Upper Galilee mountains blind mole rat)
Lineage: Eukaryota; Metazoa; Chordata; Mammalia; Rodentia; Spalacidae
Product: small nucleolar RNA SNORD116
Exons: 1
Source: RefSeq, a predicted model, not a curated record